GACGAACGCUGGCGGCAUGCCUAAUACAUGCAAGUCGAACGCUGAAGCACUCUGCUUGCAGAGUGCGGAUGAGUGGCGAACGGGUGAGUAACACGUGGGAAAUCUGCCUAUAAGAGGGGGAUAACAUUCGGAAACGGAUGCUAAUACCGCAUAUAUUCUUGGACCGCCUGGUCCUUGAAAGAAAGACGGCUUUGCUGUCGCUUAUAGAUGAUCCCGCGGCGUAUUAGUUAGUUGGUGGGGUAAAGGCCUACCAAGACAAUGAUACGUAGCCGACCUGAGAGGGUGAUCGGCCACACUGGGACUGAGACACGGCCCAGACUCCUACGGGAGGCAGCAGUAGGGAAUCUUCCACAAUGGGCGAAAGCCUGAUGGAGCAAUGCCGCGUGAAUGAAGAAGGUCUUCGGAUCGUAAAGUUCUGUUAUUAGAGAAGAACAAGUCAAGGAGUAACUGUCUUGACUUUGACGGUACCUAGCCAGAAAGUCACGGCUAACUACGUG
Molecule: ribosomal RNA, 497 nt
Filed under: uncultured bacterium
Lineage: Bacteria
Description: partial 16S ribosomal RNA
Rfam family: Bacterial small subunit ribosomal RNA
Source: RNAcentral